RNAcentral lists this ribosomal RNA (293 nucleotides) under uncultured bacterium. RNAcentral describes it as "partial 16S ribosomal RNA". It matches the Rfam family "Bacterial small subunit ribosomal RNA", at positions 505 to 796 of the family's 1533-position model. The record is from RNAcentral.
GUGCCAGCCGCCGCGGUAAUACGGGGGGAGCAAGCGUUAUCCGGAAUGAUUGGGCGUAAAGCGUCUGUAGGUGGUUCUUUAAGUCUACUGUCAAAUACGUUGGCUCAACCAACGGCAGGCAGUGGAGUACUAAAGAACUAGAGUGCGGUAGAGGUAGAGGGAAUCCCUAGCGUAACAGUGAAAUGUGUAGAUUUUAGGGAGAACACCAGCGGCGAAGGCGCUCUACUGGGCCGAUACUGACACUGAGAGACGAAAGCUAGAGUAGCGAAUAGGAUUAGAUACCCCAGUAGUCC